This 661-nucleotide long non-coding RNA is filed under the name Phasianus colchicus (ring-necked pheasant). Its description in RNAcentral is "lncRNA (ENSPCLG00000018027.1)". Lineage: Eukaryota; Metazoa; Chordata; Aves; Galliformes; Phasianidae. The record is from RNAcentral.
GAACCUGAAAGCUGCAGAAUGAGAAAUAAUGCUCCUCUAAAGACUGCUUCUUUCUGCAGAAAUCUCUGCAAGAACUGGUUACAGAAGUGCAUCUGUCUGUCCUGUCCAUUAAUUAAUGCAAGGUGUUCUUAUACGUGGCACCCAGUGGAGUCCCUUGGUUGGCUUCCAAACCAAACACAGCAGCGAUAGCAUCCAGUUAUUUUCCAUUGGCAGCUGGAUGGGAGGAAGGUCUGUGGACAUGGAGAAGUCGUCGUUUCACAACAGGCUCAGCUUCUCCUUUUCUUGGAUCCACGCCUGUCUCCUCCCACAGAACGAGAGAGAGAGAGAGAGAAAAAAAGGUCACGUAUGUUUGGAAAAAUAUGUAGGUCAGUGGAACAUUCCCUGCACUUGUGCAAACGGAGCCGGGGCGGGAGAGCUCCUCCGCAGCCCUCUCGCUGCCCACCUCCCGGCCCGACCCUCCCCGAAGCCCGGGCGCUCGGCGGCGGGGAGGGGGCAGCCAGGAGCCGGGGUCCCUCUCCCCUUCCCUGACCCGUUUCGCGCGCCCAGCCGGGCUCUCGGCCGCGGGCUCCGAGCUCCGGGGAAGGCGGGCGGGCGGCGGAGGAAGGCGGCUCGGGCGAUCGGCCGCCUCCAACCUCCGGGCCCGCGGCCGCCCAUGGGCGCG